UACGUAGGCAGCGAGCGUUGUUCGGAGUUACUGGGCGUAAAGGGUGCGUAGGCGGUCCCUUAAGUUUGGUGUGAAAUCUCCCGGCUCAACUGGGAGGGUGCGCCGGAUACUGAGGGACUAGAGUGUGGGAGAGGAAAGUGGAAUUCCUGGUGUAGCGGUGAAAUGCGUAGAUAUCAGGAGGAACACCGGCGGUGUAAACGGCUUUCUGGACCAUAACUGACGCUGAGGCACGAAAGCGUGGGGAG
RNAcentral lists this ribosomal RNA (245 nucleotides) under uncultured bacterium. Its description in RNAcentral is "partial 16S ribosomal RNA". It matches the Rfam family "Bacterial small subunit ribosomal RNA", at positions 524 to 768 of the family's 1533-position model. The record is from RNAcentral.